GAUGAACGCUGGCGGCGUGCCUAAUACAUGCAAGUCGAGCGAAUAGACGAGGAGCUUGCUCCUCUGACGUUAGCGGCGGACGGGUGAGUAACACGUGGAUAACCUACCUAUAAGACUGGGAUAACUUCGGGAAACCGGAGCUAAUACCGGAUAAUAUAUUGAACCGCAUGGUUCAAUAGUGAAAGACGGUUUUGCUGUCACUUAUAGAUGGAUCCGCGCCGCAUUAGCUAGUUGGUAAGGUAACGGCUUACCAAGGCAACGAUGCGUAGCCGACCUGAGAGGGUGAUCGGCCACACUGGAACUGAGACACGGUCCAGACUCCUACGGGAGGCAGCAGUAGGGAAUCUUCCGCAAUGGGCGAAAGCCUGACGGAGCAACGCCGCGUGAGUGAUGAAGGUCUUCGGAUCGUAAAACUCUGUUAUUAGGGAAGAACAAAUGUGUAAGUAACUGUGCACGUCUUGACGGUACCUAAUCAGAAAGCCACGGCUAACUACGUG
Molecule: ribosomal RNA, 497 nt
Filed under: uncultured bacterium
Lineage: Bacteria
Description: partial 16S ribosomal RNA
Rfam family: Bacterial small subunit ribosomal RNA
Source: RNAcentral